GUUUGAUCCUGGCUCAGGACGAACGCUGGCGGCGCGCCUAACACAUGCAAGUCGAACGAGCGAGAGAGAGCUUGCUUUCUCGAGCGAGUGGCGAACGGGUGAGUAACGCGUGAGGAACCUGCCUCAAAGAGGGGGACAACAGUUGGAAACGACUGCUAAUACCGCAUAAGCCCACGGGUCGGCAUCGACCAGAGGGAAAAGGAGCAAUCCGCUUUGAGAUGGCCUCGCGUCCGAUUAGCUAGUUGGUGAGGUAACGGCCCACCAAGGCAACGAUCGGUAGCCGGACUGAGAGGUUGAACGGCCACAUUGGGACUGAGACACGGCCCAGACUCCUACGGGAGGCAGCAGUGGGGAAUAUUGCACAAUGGGGGGAACCCUGAUGCAGCGACGCCGCGUGGAGGAAGAAGGUCUUCGGAUUGUAAACUCCUGUUGUUGAGGAAGAUAAUGACGGUACUCAACAAGGAAGUGACGGCUAACUACGUGCCAGCAGCCGCGGUAAAACGUAGGUCACAAGCGUUGUCCGGAAUUACUGGGUGUAAAGGGAGCGCAGGCGGGAAGACAAGUUGGAAGUGAAAUCCAUGGGCUCAACCCAUGAACUGCUUUCAAAACUGUUUUUCUUGAGUAGUGCAGAGGUAGGCGGAAUUCCCGGUGUAGCGGUGGAAUGCGUAGAUAUCGGGAGGAACACCAGUGGCGAAGGCGGCCUACUGGGCACCAACUGACGCUGAGGCUCGAAAGUGUGGGUAGCAAACAGGAUUAGAUACCCUGGUAGUCCACACCGUAAACGAUGAUUACUAGGUGUUGGAGGAUUGACCCCUUCAGUGCCGCAGUUAACACAAUAAGUAAUCCACCUGGGGAGUACGACCGCAAGGUUGAAACUCAAAGGAAUUGACGGAAGGGCGAA
RNAcentral lists this ribosomal RNA (901 nucleotides) under uncultured bacterium. Its description in RNAcentral is "bacterial SSU rRNA". It matches the Rfam family "Bacterial small subunit ribosomal RNA", at positions 11 to 925 of the family's 1533-position model. The record is from RNAcentral.